This 146-nucleotide non-coding RNA is filed under the name Gorilla gorilla gorilla (western lowland gorilla). Lineage: Eukaryota; Metazoa; Chordata; Mammalia; Primates; Hominidae. The record is from Rfam by way of RNAcentral.
GCUGGGUGCGGUGGCGCGCACCUGUAAUCCCAGCUACUUGGGAGGCUGAGGCAGGAGAAUCACUUGAACCCAGGAGGCAGAGGUUGCAGUGAGCCGAGAUCGCGCCACUGCACUUCAGCCUGGGCGAAUGUGAGACUCUGUCUCAA